GAAAUGCGAUACGUAGUGUGAAUUGCAGAAUUACGUGAAUCAUCAAAUCUUUGAACGCAUAUUGCGCUCGAGGCUUCGGCCGAGAGCAUGUCUGCCUCAGCGUCGGGUUAAUACUCGCUCCGAUCACACCAAUGAUGGGUAGCGGAACUGGUCGUCCCAGGCGUGUGCUUUUGGUGCCGCAAGGCAUCAUUAUUUGCACUACACCGGCUGGGUCGGCUGAAGUGCAGAGGUUGACACAUGGACCCGUUAUGGGCCGCAGAUGGUUAGGCAGCUUCGGCAGCUAUAUUUCUAUCUGUUGGCUUGGCGUUCGGUGUGUCCGACCCUAUCACAGGAACCCUAAACCUAUUUCCUCGACCUGAGCUCAGGCAAGAACACCCGCUGAACUUAA
Molecule: unclassified non-coding RNA, 388 nt
Filed under: uncultured fungus
Lineage: Eukaryota; Fungi
Description: sequence contains ITS1
Rfam family: 5.8S ribosomal RNA (bases 1-105)
Source: RNAcentral